GGGUCAGUAGGUUGGUCGUGCCACCGGUACGUACUGGUCUCACUGAUUCCUCCUUCCUGAAGAACCGUAAUGCCAUUAAUUUGGUGUUGCGGGGAAACAGGACUGUUACUUUGAAAAAAUUAGAGUGUUUAAAGCAAGCUAACGCUUGAAUACAUUAGCGUGGAAUAAUGAAGUAGGACGAUCGAUCCUAUUUUGUUGGUCUCUAGGAUUGACGUA
RNAcentral lists this ribosomal RNA (216 nucleotides) under Glomeromycotina sp. RNAcentral's name for it is "partial small subunit ribosomal RNA". The stretch from base 40 to 216 matches the Rfam family "Eukaryotic small subunit ribosomal RNA", at positions 686 to 864 of the family's 1831-position model. The record is from RNAcentral. Lineage: Eukaryota; Fungi; Glomeromycota.